CCUACGGGGGACAGCAGUGGGGAAUAUUGCGCAAUGGGCGAAAGCCUGACGCAGCGACGCCGCGUGAGGGAUGAAGGUCUGCGGAGCGGAAACCUCUGUCAGCAGGGAAGAACGGUCACGGUGCUAAUCAGCAGUGAAUUGACGGUACCUGCAAAGGAAGCACCGGCUAACUCCGUGCCAGCAGCCGCGGUAAUACGGAGGGUGCGAGCGUUAAUCGGAAUUACUGGGCGUAAAGCGCGCGUAGGCGGUAUGUCAAGUCAAGGGUGAAAUCCCCGCGCUCAACGUGGGAACUGCCUUUGAAACUGGCAAACUGUAGUGUGUGAGAGGCUAGUGGAAUUCCAGUUGUAGGCG
This 351-nucleotide ribosomal RNA is filed under the name uncultured bacterium. RNAcentral describes it as "partial 16S ribosomal RNA". It matches the Rfam family "Bacterial small subunit ribosomal RNA", at positions 338 to 681 of the family's 1533-position model. The record is from RNAcentral.